GCAUCUGUGCAUGCAGCAUAUCAAUAAGCGGAGGAAAAGAAACUAACAAGGAUUCCCCUAGUAACGGCGAGUGAAGCGGGAAGAGCUCAAAUUUGAAAUCUUAAAGGGUUUCCCUUUACGAAUUGUAGUUUAAAGAAGUGUUUUCUGUUGAGGUUUUGGUAAAAGUUCUUUGGAAUAGGACAUCAUAGAGGGUGAGAAUCCCGUAUUUGACCUUUACUUUCAACUUUGUGAUACACUUUCAAAGAGUCGGAUUGUUUGGGAAUGCAGUCCAAAAUGGGUGGUAAAUUUCAUCUAAAGCUAAAUAUUGGCGAGAGACCGAUAGCGAACAAGUACCGUGAGGGAAAGAUGAAAAGAACUUUGAAAAGAGAGUUAAACAGUACGUGAAAUUGUCAAAAGGGAAGCGUUUGACACCAGUGUUGUUUUUCUGAAAAUCAAUUAAAGAACUGUUUAUGCUAAGCUUGUUUAGACUUUAUCAGCUAUCUGUUUAGUUUUGAGCUUUUCUUUAAUGCACUUUUCAGUUAACAAGUCAACAUCAAUUUCUUUUGCUGUAAAAAAGCUUGAGGAAGGUGGCUUGAGAUUCGUCUUAAGUGUUUAUAGCCUCUUGCCUAUGUAGAUCGGAGAGAUUGAGGUCUGCAGCGUAGAUCCUUCGGGGCUAAAUGCAUUUGUGCUAAGUUAUAGCAUUUCAUAGACAACUUGUUGACUAUGAUUUGUCUUGUAGCUUACUCGCUUAUGUUAUUUUACCUACGCUUAGGAUGUUGACAGCAGUAUAGACUGU
RNAcentral lists this ribosomal RNA (775 nucleotides) under uncultured Neocallimastigales. Its description in RNAcentral is "partial large subunit ribosomal RNA". It matches the Rfam family "Eukaryotic large subunit ribosomal RNA", at positions 24 to 637 of the family's 3401-position model. The record is from RNAcentral. Lineage: Eukaryota; Fungi; Neocallimastigomycota; Neocallimastigomycetes; Neocallimastigales.